GCCCACUAGACAUGUACACUUUACAAUCAUUCCAUAAAACAAAUAUAGUAGACCUAUUGCAUAUAGUAUAAGAAAAACAGACCAAAACACAAAAAUUUAACUAUAACCACUGAACCAUGAAAAUGAGGUCAAGGUCAGCUGACACCUGCCAGUUGGACAUGUACACCUUACAGUCCUUCCAUACACCAAAUAUACUAGCCCUAUUGCUUAUAGUAUCUGAGAUAUGGACUUGACCACCAAAACUUAACCUUGUUCACUGAUCCAUGAAAUGAGGUCGCGGUCAAGUGAAAACUGUCUGACAGACACGAGGACCUUGCAAGGUACGCACAUAUGAAAUAUAGUUAUCCUAUUACUUAUAAUAACAGAGAAUUCAACAUUACAAAAAAUUUGAACUUUUUUUUCAAGUGGUCACUGAACCAUGAAAAUGAGGUCAAGGACAUUGGACAUGUGACUGAAGGAAACUUCGUAACAUGAAGCAUCUAUAUACAAAGUAUGAAGCAUCCAGGUCUUCCACCUUCUAAAAUAUAAAGCUUUUAAGAAGUGAGCUAACGCCGCCGCCGUAGCCGCCGCCGCCGCCGGAUCACUAUCCCUAUGUCGAGCUUUCUGCAACAAAAGUUGCAGGCUCGACAAAAAA
This 634-nucleotide long non-coding RNA is filed under the name Mytilus galloprovincialis (Mediterranean mussel). Lineage: Eukaryota; Metazoa; Mollusca; Bivalvia; Mytilida; Mytilidae. The record is from RNAcentral.